This 494-nucleotide long non-coding RNA is filed under the name Homo sapiens (human). RNAcentral's name for it is "non-protein coding lnc-ZW10-1:1". The record is from RNAcentral. Lineage: Eukaryota; Metazoa; Chordata; Mammalia; Primates; Hominidae.
AUUCUCCUGCCUCAGCCUCCCAAGUAGCUGAGUUUCUGGACUGGAUCCAUGACACUGCUCAGGUGAGUGUGGGGGCAGGAGUAGGGCAGGGAGAUUUCUAAAGGACCUGCCCUCGAAUGCAAGGAACCUUACCCCUUAGGCCCGGGCCCUGCUGGGGACUGGGGAGGGUGCUAGGACAUAUUCCCCAGAGUGAGUGGAGGAAGAAGUGAAGCUUAAACAUGGAAUCCAUUGGAUUUCUAUCAGUUUAAGGAUGAACUGGGUAAGAGUAUGCCUGAGUUUGUAUCCCAGAUCUACCAUUUCCUGUGUCGACCUUUGGCAAAUUUCUAACUUUGUUAAACCUUAAUUUCCUGAUAAUAACCAUGAUGGCUACUUAUAUGCUAUUGUUAUAUGCUAUUAAAUAAGACCCGUACAAUGCCUAGCACAGUGCUAGGCUUAGAGUGAGUGAUCUGCAGUGUUUUUUGUUUUUUUUUGAGAUGGAGUUUUGCUCUUGUUGC